GAUGAACGCUGACAGAAUGCUUAACACAUGCAAGUCAACUUGAACUUCGGUUUGGGUGGCGGACGGGUGAGUAACGCGUAAAGAACUUGCCUCACAGCUAGGGACACCAUUUGGAAACGAAUGCUAAUACCUGAUAUUAUGAUUAUAUGGCAUCGUAUAAUUAUGAAAGCUAUAUGCGCUGUGAGAGAGCUUUGCGUCCCAUUAGCUAGUUGGAGAGGUAACAGCUCACCAAGGCGAUGAUGGGUAGCCGGCCUGAGUGGGUGAUCGGCCACAAGGGGACUGAGACACGGCCCUUACUCCAACGGGAGGCAGCAGUGGGGAAUAUUGGACAAUGGACCGAGAGUCUGAUCCAGCAAUUCUGUGUGCACGAUGAAGUUUUUCGGAAUGUAAAGUGCUUUCAGUUGGGAAGAAAAAAAUGACGGUACCAACAGAAGAAGUGACGGCUAAAUACGUG
Molecule: ribosomal RNA, 454 nt
Filed under: uncultured bacterium
Lineage: Bacteria
Description: partial 16S ribosomal RNA
Rfam family: Bacterial small subunit ribosomal RNA
Source: RNAcentral